AGAAAACAUGGUCAUGAUUUAUGUAGAUUGGACAGUCCCUUCAAACUGCAGUCUUUGAUCUAGAGUGGACAAUCUAACUAUAUGUUUCCUUUUAGAAAAUGACUAUAUGUUCCAUGAAUUCACUGCUUAUUUUGGCCAGAUCAGAUUAAACCAGGUCUUGAUUUCAAGGUUCAGUUAAGGCAGUUGGUGCAGAUUUUUCAUUCUAGGUUGUGGAAAACGCAUGUAGCGUUCCUUCUACAAGUCGUCAUGAGCUGGGACAUAGAAGAAGAGAGCCGACGAGAAGUCGCGAAGCGGUUCGCUCCGGUGUCGCUGCCAAUGGCGCUGCACAAAGUGCAGAUUGCAGGCUAGAUGCGUACAAAUCCGUCCCUACUUCCACGACGUGGAAGCAAAGGAAAUUUAGUCAAUUAGAUAGUAUAUUUGGUUAUGAAAGUUAUCUUUUGUGUAUGCAGUUUUGCCAUCAUUUUGUAAAAGCUUUGAGUUUUUUAUAAUGUAAUUGUCUUACUAAUCACACUUUUAAUUGAUUUGUGCCAAGGCUAAUAGCCAAGUUAUGCACAAACUGUUCAUGUUU
This is a non-coding RNA of Triticum urartu, 568 nucleotides long. NCBI's taxonomy places the organism in Eukaryota, Viridiplantae, Streptophyta, Magnoliopsida, Poales, Poaceae. The record is from RefSeq and is a predicted model, not a curated record.